CGCCCAAUAUAUGCUUGUAGAAGGAUCGUGUAAAAUGAACAUCAAGAAGUUGACCAUCAAAUAACGCCUUCCCAACCUGGGAUGUACGUAAAGCACAUGAGAUAUUGUUAAACUGAAUGACUCAAGCAAAAUAGAAAAAAGUAGGUACUCACAACUCGCCCAACAAAUUUGAAGUAUGAAAGGUGCUCAGUUUGGUAUACGGAGUUGGGAUUUGGCUGAAAUGUUGCUUCAUUGCCAACUGUAGUAAACAACAGUGCUCCCUUAUCAAAAAUUACUCUGGACAGCAACUGAUACCAUUCCCUAGUAAGUCCACCAGCAUCAAUCCCUUCUUCCCCUUGGAAAUGAACAGUCAACCUCCCUUUCAAUUCUUGAGUUGUUCUCAUGCGCAGCUGAUUAUAUGAAUCUUCAAGUAUAUAAGCUCUCCUCACAGAAAUUCUCAGAGGACUAUGAUGAUGAUCAUGUUGAUGUUUAAUCUUAGAUCUAAAGUGGGAUCUUUUAUUGUCAAAAUCAACAAAACGAGGAACCUUCAGCAUGAUGGAGAAAGACUUCUCUAGUAGGCCAGGAUUCUGCCGUACAAACGCAUUAAGGAGUUUCCUGUGCUUUUCUGCAAACUCUAGUAGGCCAGGAUUCUGCCGGACAAACGCAUUAAGGAGUUUCCUGUGCUUCUCUGCAAAUUUUACGAAAGCAAUGUGCUUCUCAUCAACUUUCAUCGCAGAUGUAGGUGUUUUCGGCUGCAUAGCAGAAGCAGUUGCUUCUUCUGGAUCAGGAAUUGUAGCAAUACUAAAAUCCUGCCCUGCACCCAAAAGUCCAGGAUGCAACUUCUCACACAUCACAAAAAAUGACUCUAUGUACGGUAAAAUAUUUUGUGUGCCUGCUGGAAGUGGAGGCAUUGCUCCAGAAGGUUUAGAUGUGGUAACCAGGGACGAGUGUGACGGGUUGGUUGCUGUUUCAGAAAAACACUCUAUUUUGCUAAUACAAGUGCUCAGCUCCUGCCAUAGAGGUUCUAAAGCUGUGUUAAUGUCCAAAACCAGGCUGACAGUAGCACCAUGCUCCUUCUCAGAAAGAAUUUGAUUAUCCUUGUUCUUGUCAUCAAUUGAGGCAACAAGAGUGCUUAAUGCUUGUAAAACUCUGAGUAUCACGGCACCAUCAGUUGAAGUGGUACUGAGCAGUGCUUUUUCUACUUCCCUAAACUUGUUUAACUCGUCCAACGCAGAUCUUGUUAGGCUUUGCACAGAGCCAGCUAGCUCAGUAAUAAAUAAAUGACAAAGGGCGGGAGCUAUGGCCACCAAUUUUUUCAGUACCUCAGCUACCAAUGAGUAAGCAUUGUCUGACAGACUACCAAAAGAAGAAAACAUUAAACAACUUCAAUAAUGAAUAAAUUAUAUAUUAUUCAGCAACAUUUAGUAUAAAAAACCACUGAAGGUUCAAAAUGUACUUGGUCAUGUGAAAAGCCAAAAGAAGAAAACAUUAAACAGCUUCAACAAUGAAUAACUUAUAUAUUAUUCAGCAACAUUAAGCAUAAAAAAACCACUGAAGGUUCAAAAUGUACUUGGUCGUGUGAAAAGGAUAGCUGAGUCUUACAUUUCAAGGAAGUGCAUGUGCAACCAAACACAUAAUUUUGUGCCUCAUACAGAAGCCACAUGCAUGAAAAUUUUGAAAAUAACACCACACUAAGCAAUUAGUUUAGUUAUUUAAGUCUUCCUUUGAAAAGAAAGAAAAUAUUCAGCUAGUACAAAAUUAGUUCAGUACAUCAAUAAGCCAGCCAACUCACAAGACUAUCAAUCAAGGAGGCAUACCCCCCGCCCCCCAAAAAAAAACAAAAGGAAGCAUCUCAUAAGAAGUACUAUCUGCUGAACUUAUCAAAUCUAACAAGAGAUGCUCUUUUUUACGUAAUAUCUACUGAAGUUCAAACCAGAGUAUUUAACAUUUUAAAAUACAUCAGUCCAAUAGCACUAAAGCAGCAUGUAGAAACAAAUACUGUCAAACGACUAGAAUAAGCACAUUACAGGAUAAGGAACUAGCUUACCCUUCUCUGGCAAGCAAUGAGCACAGGAGUCGAAGUUCUAAUUGUGGAAGACUAAGCAAAAUACUUUCAGUAGUUUGGUCUCCGCCUGCACCAGAGGAUGAGGCUCCGGACUUGUCCUCAACCUCAGAUGAAGCUGCAUGAGAUUCAGUAUUCAUCUCAGCAGUAGAUUGAACUGGAGGAUCAGUUGGUUGUUCUGUAGAGGACGAUCCAGGUUCUUCACGUGCAUUUGAUUUGCUUUCGGUGUUCAGGACUAUAACAUCUAGCAGAUUUAACAGCUAGAUCCAAAAGAGAAAUUGUUAGACGCCAAGAAAUACCAACUAUUGACUACUCAAAGAGACAUCCCACUUGUGCAAACUACCUGCUCUAGAUGCGCGACACUUCUCAGGUAAAGGGGAUGAUUCAAGAGGCCCAAAAGCAAUGCAAGAGCUACUUGUCCUUCAAGCUGCCAUCUUUCCGGUCCAUCAGCCUCAACCAUCACAGCUUUUCCGCGUCUCUGAUCUGGACUUAUUGGCCCUUCCACCACUAGUCGAGGGAGCCUGAAUUCAAG
This 2573-nucleotide long non-coding RNA is filed under the name Nicotiana benthamiana. RNAcentral's name for it is "long non-coding RNA (NBEN_LNC005849)". Lineage: Eukaryota; Viridiplantae; Streptophyta; Magnoliopsida; Solanales; Solanaceae. The record is from RNAcentral.